GAGCUGUCCUUAGGACCCAUUCCUACACUGGGAGGCAGUCAAACGCCUUUGCUGAUAAGCCGGCCAAACCACAGCUAAACGUCGCCAACGUCAGUGACGUCAUAAAGCUGCAGUGUGUUAGUCAGCCUCUUGAUUAGCAUAAACUACAGUGGGAGGAGACUAGAGGAUGUCAGCAACCCGUUCCUGACCUUGGAUACGCUUAGCAACGUGGAGGUAUCUUACAAAAUGACUGUCAGAAUUGUGCUCACACGUAGGGGCAGUUCUUUUUGCUGUGGAGGACAUGGUGAAGCGUGAAGAGAAAGUUUGAAACCCUGCGAGUGGCUGAUGCCAUCUCAUGUA
Molecule: long non-coding RNA, 339 nt
Organism: Engraulis encrasicolus (European anchovy)
Lineage: Eukaryota; Metazoa; Chordata; Actinopteri; Clupeiformes; Engraulidae
Exons: 3
Source: RefSeq, a predicted model, not a curated record